Molecule: ribosomal RNA, 450 nt
Filed under: uncultured bacterium
Lineage: Bacteria
Description: partial 16S ribosomal RNA
Rfam family: Bacterial small subunit ribosomal RNA
Source: RNAcentral
GUAGGGAAUCUUCGGCAAUGGACGAAAGUCUGACCGAGCAACGCCGCGUGAGUGAAGAAGGUUUUCGGAUCGUAAAACUCUGUUGUUAGAGAAGAACGUUGUGUAGAGUGGAAAAUUACACAAGUGACGGUAUCUAACCAGAAAGGGACGGCUAACUACGUGCCAGCAGCCGCGGUAAUACGUAGGUCCCGAGCGUUGUCCGGAUUUAUUGGGCGUAAAGCGAGCGCAGGUGGUUUAAUAAGUCUGAUGUAAAAGGCAGUGGCUCAACCAUUGUGUGCAUUGGAAACUGUUAGACUUGAGUGCAGUAGAGGAGAGUGGAAUUCCAUGUGUAGCGGUGAAAUGCGUAGAUAUAUGGAGGAACACCGGUGGCGAAAGCGGCUCUCUGGACUGUAACUGACACUGAGGCUCGAAAGCGUGGGUAGCAAACAGGAUUAGAUACCCCAGUAGUCC